UACGGAGGGAGCUAGCGUUGUUCGGAAUUACUGGGCGUAAAGCGUGCGUAGACGGUAGCGUAAGUCGGGUGUGAAAGCCCCGGGCUCAACCUGGGAAUUGCAUUCGAGACUGCUCUGCUAGGGUGCGGAAGAGGGGAGCGGAAUUUCCGGUGUAGCGGUGAAAUGCGUAGAUAUCGGAAGGAACACCAGUGGCGAAAGCGGCUCCCUGGUCCAGCACCGACGUUCAGGCACGAAAGCGUGGGGAGCAAACAGG
RNAcentral lists this ribosomal RNA (253 nucleotides) under uncultured bacterium. RNAcentral describes it as "partial 16S ribosomal RNA". It matches the Rfam family "Bacterial small subunit ribosomal RNA", at positions 524 to 776 of the family's 1533-position model. The record is from RNAcentral.